GGCGCUCCGGUAAGUCGUGUGUGCGGCGGGGCGGGGACAGAACCGUCCUCUCGGGCUCUGGGCGUGUCCGAGACCGCGCUCCCCGCCGAAAUCAAGCUCCGAGUCAUCCGUGUGGGGCAUUCGUCCUCCCUGGCACAGUUGGCCUCUUUCCAGAAGCCCGUUUUGUUUGUUUUACGUCUAAAUUCGCGUCGGUUCUUAUUUCUCUCCCUGGCAAGGUCUGAAGACGGCUGUGUCAGCGUGUUAUGAUGCCGUCCCGUACCAACCUGGCUACCGGAAUCCCCAGUAGUAAAGUGAAAUAUUCAAGGCUCUCCAGCACAGACGAUGGCUACAUUGACCUUCAGGUAAAUGCAGAAGAGAACUGACAAGACUGACUGGCUGUGUUUCUGUUGAGUUAGCAGGAAGACCUUCCAGAUGGAGAUUUUGCUAACUGUCCUUGGGGAUUAGAGGGAGCAAAAAGAAGAAAACUCAGCUCUGAGACCCUUUCAGCCAUAAUCACAGAAGAGGGCCGUGGCAGGUUUAAGAAAACCCCUCCUAAGAUCCCUUAUAAGGCCAUCGCACUUGCCACUGUGCUGUUUUUGAUUGGCGCCUUUCUCAUUAUUAUAGGCUCCCUCCUGCUGUCAGGCUACAUCAGCAAAGGGGGGGCAGACCGGGCCGUUCCAGUCCUGAUCAUUGGCAUUCUGGUGUUCCUACCCGGAUUUUACCACCUGCGCAUCGCUUACUAUGCAUCCAAAGGCUACCGUGGUUACUCCUAUGAUGACAUUCCAGACUUUGAUGACUAGCACCCACCCCAUAGCUGAGGAGGAGUCACAGUGGAACUGUCCCAGCUUUAAGAUAUCUAGCAGAAACUAUAGCUGAGGACUAAGGAAUUCUGCAGCUUGCAGAUGUUUAAGAAAAUAAUGGCCAGAUUUUUUGGGUCCUUCCCAAAGAUGUUAAGUGAACCUACAGUUAGCUAAUUAGGACAAGCUCUAUUUUUCAUCCCUUGGCCCUGACAAGUUUUUCCACAGGAAUAUGUAUCAUGGAAGAAUAGAGGUUACUCUGUAAUGGAAAAGUGUUGCCUGCCACCACCCUCUGUAGAGCUGAGCAUUUCUUUUCAAUAGUCUUCAUUGCCAAUUUGUUCUUGUAGCAAAUGGAACAAUGUAGUAUGGCUAAUUUCUUAUUAUUACGUAAUUUAUUUUAAAAAUAUCUGAGUAUAUUAUCCUGUACACUUAUCCCUACCUUCAUGUUCCAGUGGAAGACCUUAGUAAAAUCAAAGAUCAGUGAGUUCAUCUGUAAUAUUUUUUUUACUUGCUUUCUUACUGACAGCAACCAGGAAUUUUUUUUAUCCUGCAGAGCAAGUUUUCAAAAUGUAAAUACUUCCUCUGUUUAACAGUCCUUGGCCCAUUCUGAUCCAGUUCACCAGUAGGUUGGACAGCAUAUAAUUUGCAUCAUUUUGUCCCUUGUAAAUCAAGAUGUUCUGCAGAUUAUUCCUUUAACGGCUGGACUUUUGGCUGUUUCCCAAUGAAACAUGUAGUGGUUAUUAUUUAGAGUUUAUAGCCGUAUUGCUAGCACCUUGUAGUAUGUCAUCAUUCUGCUCAUGAUUCCAAGGAUCAGCCUGGAUGCCUAGAGGACUAGAUCGCCUUAGUUUGAUUCUAUUUUUUAGCUUGCAAAAAGUGACUUAUAUUCCAAAGAAAUUAAAAUGUUAAAAUCCAAAUCCUAGAAAUAAAAUGAGUUAACUUCAAACAUUUCAGAAAA
This 1731-nucleotide small RNA is filed under the name Pan troglodytes (chimpanzee). RNAcentral describes it as "processed transcript". The record is from RNAcentral. Lineage: Eukaryota; Metazoa; Chordata; Mammalia; Primates; Hominidae.